Long non-coding RNA from Astatotilapia calliptera (eastern happy), 1019 nucleotides. Lineage: Eukaryota; Metazoa; Chordata; Actinopteri; Cichliformes; Cichlidae. The record is from Ensembl.
CCUGGAAGAAGAGGAGCAGGCCAACGAGGAAGAGGAGUUCAAAUCAGUUGUGCCUGUAUUGUAACACAUGUCAAUUGACAACACAUGUUUCUUUCUUUAGAGUUGAAAGAAUGCCACAUAGAGGUGGGAGGGUUGCCAUACUUACAGCGGCACAAGAAACCCUCAUUGUGGAUAUGGUUUGUGGGAACAACCUCAUCAGACUCCGGGAGAUCAGAGACAAAGUCAUUGCCGAUAAUGUCAACUUUGAGAGCAUUGACGAUGUCAGCUUGGCCACAAUAUACCGAGUUCUCCGACGCAAAAAGACGCGGAUGAAACAGGUCUACAGGGUUCCCUUUGAGCGCAACUCUGCGCGACACGAAGACCUACGUUACGAAGGAUGUUACAGUUGGACGCGAUGGCCAGACCUCAUGAGUACCUCUUCCUGGAUGAGGCUGGCUUCAACCUGCAGAAAUGAAGGCAAAGAGGCCAUAACAUCAUUGGCCAAAGAGCCAUCACUGAGGUCCCUGGCCAACGGGGGGUAAUAUUACCCUUUGUGCGGCCAUGGGUUUGGAGGGGCUUGUCCACCGGCAUGCUGUCCUUGGGUCUUACAACACCCAAUGUCUCUUCACCUUCACAGAGGAGCUAAAAGACAUCCUCCUGGACCGCCAACAACACUAUCCUGGGCCCGCACAUCACAUUUAUGUAAUCAUUUGGGACAAUGUCCGCUUCCACAGAACAAACCAAAUCAGCGAGCGGUUCACCACCAACAGUGACCACUUUUUAAACGUCUGUCUGCCACCCUACUCCCCUUUCCUGAACCCUAUAGAGGAGUUCUUCCUAUCGUGGAGAUGGAAGGUUUAUGACAGACAAACAUACACAAGAGAGAACCUCCUAAGGGCAAUGGAGCUGGCCUGUGUUGACAUCUCAGCGGAGGCCUUCCAAGGAUGGAUUCGCCAUUCCAGGGCAUUUUUCCCGCGGUGCCUGGCAAGAGACAAUAUAGCCUGCGAUGUGAAUGAGGUGAUGUGGCCCGAUGCAGCUCA